GAUUAACGCUAGCGGCAGGCAUAAUACAUGCAAGUUGAACGGCAGCACAGGUAGCAAUACUGGGUGGCGAGUGGCGCACGGGUGCGUAACACGUAUGCAACCUACCCUAUACAGGCGAAUAACCUUUAGAAAUGAGGGCUAAUACGCCGUAGUAUUACAGAUGGGCAUCUAUUUGUAAUUAAAGAUUUAUCGGUAUAGGAUGGGCAUGCGUCCCAUUAGUUAGUUGGUAAGGUAACGGCUUACCAAGACGAUGAUGGGUAGGGGAUCUGAGAGGACUUACCCCCACACUGGUACUGAGACACGGACCAGACUCCUACGGGAGGAAGCAGUAAGGAAUAUUGAGCAAUGGCCGCGAGGCUGACCCAGCCAUGCCGCGUGCAGGAAGACGGCCUUAUGGGUUGUAAACUGCUUUUAUACGGGAAUAAUAGAGUGUACGCGUACAUUUAUGCAAGUAUCGUAUGAAUAAGCAUCGGCUAACUCCGUG
This 484-nucleotide ribosomal RNA is filed under the name uncultured bacterium. Its description in RNAcentral is "partial 16S ribosomal RNA". It matches the Rfam family "Bacterial small subunit ribosomal RNA", at positions 28 to 507 of the family's 1533-position model. The record is from RNAcentral.